AUGUUGUUUCCUAGAUUUGCAAGGAUAAGGUUGAACCACAGGUGUGGUUUACAUGCCUCAGUGCAUUGGUAUCUCCAGGCAAAGCACAAAUCCCAACCCCAACACACCGACGAAAUGCGCAGUGGUGCCCUUUCUUUAGAUUGUGGCAGGGAAAGUAGCCUAAGCAGUGUCUCUACAUUUACCACGGAUUCCCUUGAGAACAAGUUGAGCUCUGCAAAUUCUAAGGACCAUUCUUCUCGAGGAUAUGCAUAUUCAGAAAGGACAGACGUGUCAGUUAUGCAAGUAAAAAGUGUUUAUUCAUCAGACAUUCGGGUCAGUGUCUCCAGUGCUCUCUGCACAUCCAGCCAUGGUUCUGGUGGUGAGGAUUCUGAAUCAUUUGGGGAGAAGUCAUGUGUGACACCACUUCAAUAUCAGCGUCUGAUGGAAACACACUCUCCCCUGGUGCAACUACCGAUAUUCUUGUGCCAAAGCCCCUAG
This 477-nucleotide ribosomal RNA is filed under the name Triticum aestivum (bread wheat). Its description in RNAcentral is "partial small subunit ribosomal RNA". Lineage: Eukaryota; Viridiplantae; Streptophyta; Magnoliopsida; Poales; Poaceae. The record is from RNAcentral.